UCACCUCCACCCUCUUCACCUCCACCCUUUGCAAAAACCUAAAAAAGAACAACGUCAACAGAUUGGUUAUAUCAACAACCAUAUACUGUCCCACUUGCCGACAUAUAUGAACAAAGUUUCCAAGCGACAGGAAAGAGAAUGUCUGAUUGAGAAACCAAACGCAGAUCCGAUUGCGACAGUAAAAAGCAACACCGACGACUACGACAACACCAGAAGAAAGAAAUCAAGGCGGUGACACUAUGAACUGUAAGACCCAUUAAUCAAAUCAAACACCCCCAAAUCCUUAAUCUUCCGAUUAAAAAAUUGAACUUUGAAUUCCUGCGAGUCAGCAGCUUCACAACCUUUUCCUUCCCACCAAACACCCACGAUUAUUUACAAAAAAUAAAAUCCAAACUUUCUGGGGUCCCAAAAUCUGAGGAACCUGACUCUGAAACUGAUCCGGAGCAGGUCUGGUUCGCGAGCCACCCGAGGAGAGAAAAGAAUCGAAGUGCUGAAGCAGAGGAGCCACCAUGUGUCGGUGCCACCGCCGCCAAAACCCAGAAGCAGACCAUCAGCAUUCUCUCCUUCGAAGUCGCCAAUGUUGUGUCCAAGACCGUCCACCUCCACAUGUCUCUCAUCGACUCUGAGAUCUCGAAGCUCUAAAACAAGAUCUUGAAGUUUAGGAAGAAGAUUGCAGGAAAUGGAGGGGGCGACGACAGCGAGGAGUCCGGAGGAGAAAAACACAAGGUUAGAUAACAUGUGCUAGCGGAUUUGGUGGAAUUUGAGGACAAUGAUGUGGGAUUGAGCUUCUUCAAUUGAUAAUCUUGGUGGAA
Molecule: long non-coding RNA, 812 nt
Organism: Pyrus x bretschneideri (Chinese white pear)
Lineage: Eukaryota; Viridiplantae; Streptophyta; Magnoliopsida; Rosales; Rosaceae
Exons: 2
Source: RefSeq, a predicted model, not a curated record